GACGAACGCUGGCGGCGUGCCUAAUACAUGCAAGUCGAACGCUGAAGGAGGAGCUUGCUUCUCCGGAUGAGUUGCGAACGGGUGAGUAACGCGUAGGUAACCUGCCUGGUAGCGGGGGAUAACUAUUGGAAACGAUAGCUAAUACCGCAUAAGAGUAGAUGUCGCAUGACAUUUGCUUAAAAGGUGCAACUGCACCACUACCAGAUGGACCUGCGUUGUAUUAGCUAGUUGGUGAGGUAACGGCUCACCAAGGCAACGAUACAUAGCCGACCUGAGAGGGUGAUCGGCCACACUGGGACUGAGACACGGCCCAGACUCCUACGGGAGGCAGCAGUAGGGAAUCUUCGGCAAUGGACGGAAGUCUAACCGAGCAACGCCGCGUGAGUGAAGAAGGUUUUCGGAUCGUAAAGCUCUGUUGUAAGAGAAGAACGAGUGUGAGAGUGGAAAGUUCACACUGUGACGGUAUCUUACCAGAAAGGGACGGCUAACUACGUG
RNAcentral lists this ribosomal RNA (495 nucleotides) under uncultured bacterium. Its description in RNAcentral is "partial 16S ribosomal RNA". It matches the Rfam family "Bacterial small subunit ribosomal RNA", at positions 28 to 507 of the family's 1533-position model. The record is from RNAcentral.